UAAUAUCGCAUCAAUCCCUAUGGAGACGAUAAAACAAAUACCCACUGAAAACACUUUCAAGAAAAUGGCUUCGUUGUCGGGAUUGUUGUUAUGAUAUUGUAAGCAUUGCAAUAGUUUAUCAUGUUUUAAGUUUUUUUUAUAUUGUUAUCCCUUAUCUCAUUUCUUAUCCAUUGUGCUUUUUUUCUAUAUCUUGGUUAGAUCUUUC
RNAcentral lists this long non-coding RNA (205 nucleotides) under Lathyrus oleraceus (garden pea). RNAcentral's name for it is "Pisum sativum (pea) long non-coding RNA (PSAT_LNC017249)". The record is from RNAcentral. Lineage: Eukaryota; Viridiplantae; Streptophyta; Magnoliopsida; Fabales; Fabaceae.